GUCAGGUGGGCAGUUUGACUGGGGCGGUCGCCUCCCAAAAGGUAACGGAGGCGCUCAAAGGUUCUCUCAGUACGGUCGGAAAUCGUACGUAGAGUGUAAAGGCAAAAGAGAGCUUGAUUGCAAGACAUACAGGUCGAGCAAGGAUGAAAAUCGGACUUAGUGAUCCGGUGGUUCUGCGUGGAAGGGCCAUCGCUCAACGGAUAAAAGCUACCCUGGGGAUAACAGGCUUAUCUCCCCCAAGAGUCCACAUCGACGGGGAGGUUUGGCACCUCGAUGUCGGCUCAUCACAUCCUGGGGCUGUAGUAGGUCCCAAGGGUUGGGCUGUUCGCCCAUUAAAGUGGUACGCGAGCUGGGUUCAGAACGUCGUGAGACAGUUCGGUCCCUAUCCGUCGCAGGCGUAGGAAAUUUGAGAAGACCUGUCCUUAGUACGAGAGGACCGGGAUGGACG
Molecule: ribosomal RNA, 448 nt
Filed under: Clostridioides difficile
Lineage: Bacteria; Bacillati; Bacillota; Clostridia; Peptostreptococcales; Peptostreptococcaceae
Description: partial 23S ribosomal RNA
Rfam family: Bacterial large subunit ribosomal RNA
Source: RNAcentral